GCAAGAUACCACGGGCGCACGGCGGAUGCCUUGGCACAGGGAGCCGAUGAAGGACGCGGCAAGCUGCGAUAAUCCCCGGCGAGGAGCACACAUCCUUCGACCCGGGGGUCUCCGAAUGGGCGAACCCAUCCACAGCAGUGUGGAUAUCCCCACCCCGAACACAUAGGGGCGGGGAGGACAACCCGGGGAACUGAAACAUCUAAGUACCCGGAGGAGAGGAAAUCAAUCUCGAGACUCCCCGAGUAGCGGCGAGCGAAAGGGGACCGAUGGCCAAACCGUCGAGCGGGCAUACCCGGCAGGGGUUCCGCCGACGGGGUUGCAGGGCCGCGCAUCCGGGGGCUGCCGCCCCCGGGCGCAGGUCCGGCUGGGGAGCGGAACGGCAUGGGAGGGCCGGCCGCAGCGGGUGACAGCCCCGUACGCGAACCCAGACCGGACGGCGCGACGCGGUCCCUGAGUAGGGCCGGGCACGUGAAACCCGGUCCGAACCUGGGUGGACCACCAUCCAAGCCUGAGUACUACCCUGUGACCGAUAGCGCACCAGUACCGUGAGGGAAAGGUGAAAAGCACCCCGGGAGGGGAGUGAAACAGUACCUGAAACCGUGCGCCCACGAGCAGUCGGAGCACCUUUAUGGUGUGACGGCGUGCCUUUUGUAGAAUGAGCCAGCGAGUCGCUGGCGCGGGGCGAGGUUAACCGAAAGGGAGCCGGAGCGAAAGCGAGCCUUAACAGGGCGACUUGAGUCCCGCGCCGCGGACGCGAAGCCGGGUGAGCUAUCCGUGGGCAGGCUGAAGCGGGGGUAAGACCCCGUGGAGGGCCGAACGCACGUCGGUUGAAAACGGCGGCGAUGACCUGCGGAUAGGGGUGAAAGGCCAAUCAAACCCGGAGAUAUCUCGUUCUCCCCGAAAUAGCUUUAGGGCUAGCGUCGCGCGUUCACCGCCGGAGGUAGAGCACCGGAUGGACGAGGGGGCUUCGCCGCCUACCGAAUCCAACCGAACUCCGAAUGCCGGCGGCCCAGAGCGCGGCAGUCAGAGCAUGUGGGCUAAGCUGUGUGCUCGAGAGGGAAACAGCCCGGACCGCCCGCUAAGGUCCCCAAGUUCCAGCCGAGUGGCAAAGGAUGUGCGUCCGCCCAGACAACCAGGAUGUUGGCUUAGAAGCAGCCAUCCAUUCAAAGAGUGCGUAACAGCUCACUGGUCGAGUGGACAUGCGCCGACAAUACACGGGGCUAAGCUGGACACCGAAGCGGCGGGAUUUUAAUUCAUUAGAAUCGGUAGGGGAGCUUCCCAUGGGCGGAGAAGCCGGAGGGCGACCGACGGUGGAGCGCAUGGGAGUGAGAAUGCUGGCAUGAGUAGCGAGAGACGAGAGAGUAACUCGUCCGCCGUGAACCCGAGGUUUCCUGGGCAAGGCUAAUCCUCCCAGGGUCAGUCGGGGGCUAAGGCGAGGCCGGGAGGCGUAGCCGACGCGCAGCAGGCAGACAUUCCUGCACCGCGCACGCGGCGCUACGACCGACGGGGCGACGGAUGGGGGUGGCUCGGCGGGGUUCUGGACGUCCCCGUGAUGGAGCGCGGCCCGCGGACCAGGGAAAUCCGGUCCGCAGAAGGGCGAGGCUCCGGACGAAGCACUUAAGCGAAGCGAGUGAGCCCGAGGUCCCUAGAAAAACCCCUAGGCAGGCGCGUGCGCGCCCGUACCGCAAACCGACACAGGUGGGUGGGUAGAACAUACCGAGGCGAUCGGGUCAACCAUGGUCAAGGAACUCGGCACAAUGGCCCCGUAACUUCGGGAGAAGGGGUGCCCGCGCGUACGUGAACCGGCUCGCCCGGGGAGCGGAGGCGGGCCGCAGUGGAGAGGCCCAAGCGACUGUUUACCAAAAACACAGGACUCUGCAGAAGCCGCAAGGCGACGUAUAGGGUCUGACGCCUGCCCGGUGCCGGAAGGUCACGCGGAGGAGUUAGCCGCAAGGCGAAGCCCCGAAGCCAAGCCCCGGUAAACGGCGGCCGUAACAAUAACGGUCCUAAGGUAGCGAAAUUCCUUGUCGGGUAAGUUCCGACCUGCACGAA
This 2052-nucleotide ribosomal RNA is filed under the name human gut metagenome. RNAcentral's name for it is "bacterial LSU rRNA". It matches the Rfam family "Bacterial large subunit ribosomal RNA", at positions 1 to 1996 of the family's 2925-position model. The record is from RNAcentral.